RNAcentral lists this long non-coding RNA (982 nucleotides) under Agrilus planipennis (emerald ash borer). RNAcentral describes it as "uncharacterized LOC108733115, transcript variant X3". The record is from RNAcentral. Lineage: Eukaryota; Metazoa; Arthropoda; Insecta; Coleoptera; Buprestidae.
UUGUAGAUUUAUUAUCUAUGUUUCUAUGUUGUUUUGCUUUGCUUGUGUCUUGUGUUAAAAUUUCUAAGUGCUUGUGUUCGGAACGGUUGAAGUAUGGAUUUUUUUAUUUUUUCCGAUAAGAGAGAAAAAAAAACAGGUCGUUUGCUGUGGUAUUUUUGCUGGAUUUAUUGGUUCUAUCCAAUGGAUGUUGGGAUACCUAAAGCAAGCAUAAAAGUAAAACUAGCCUGGAAACAGAGGCAACGUGUUGUUGCUAAACGCAAGAUUUAUGAUAAUGAGUUGGAGCAUAAAAACUCGGGGUGACGUGUUAUGGAACAUUGGUUUCUCUUUUUCUCUGCAAAGUAGCACUACCAACAGUCCUGAGGCGAAGGUGUCUUUUAGCAUCUGGAAUGGAGACAAUGUGUUAUUGUUAAAGGAAGGAAUUAAAUGAUAUAAAGUGGUAAGUGACAAUUAAAAAUAGUAACAGCUAAAUCAGGUAUUUACACUUUAUUAAUCUAGCGUCGAUUUGGUUAACAAACAAUUUAGAACUUAAUGGAUAAGAUGACAAGCAUACAUCACUUCUUUGUGUAAUACCGCCACUUUUUCCAUUAUUUAAAAUUUGCGAACUUCAGUUUAUCCAUUUCUUUUUUCUAAAAAGGCCUGGUUGCCGCUUAUAGUUCCACUACGUUUUGCUGCAUUUGCCACAAAAAUUCAUAGGGCAAAUCGAUUUGCAUUUCCAACCCCCAGCUUAAAAACGUUUUUAUUUCUUGAUUAUUAAUAUUUUAAACUGUUGGUUUUGAAAGCCGAAUUUUUAAUAAGUAAAGGAAUUCAGAAGUGCUCCUGCAGCCUGACGUUCAGAAUACUUUGCAGUGUAGUGGGUUGCCUACACCAAGGACGAACAGUCGCCUGCUGUAUGUUAAAUUUAAAUUAUCAUGGUACCAAUGUUACAGUGCGAAUCGAAAAUUGUAAGCAACUAAAUUUUUGGGUUUUAAUAAAAUAAUCUAAC